AAAUUCGAUCUCAGAAUCUUUUUGCCAGAAGUGUCUCAUGGGACUUAUCUAUAGUGGAACACAUUUGAAGACCUACUGCUCUAUUAAGAAGGCAGCCGGACAACAUGUUCUAAUACUUCGUAUGCUUUGUGACCUAGUUAAAAUCUAAACUUAAGUCGCCAUGGCCAGUGGCCUUUAGAUUAAGCUAGCCUUACCCCUGGGAGUAUACCAGAGCUUUCCAAGGAAUACACAGACUCCAGUACUCUCAGGGGAGCAGUGUUCAGAGCCUCAUCUUCCUGUUAUAUUCUUCUCUAAGAUUCAUCUGCCUGAGAAAAUGCCCUUUUCUCACCUUACAAAAGAAAAUAUGGCUGUCUCCACCUCUAGUCUUACUGUAGAGCAUGUCCCAAGGUGUAAAAAUUCAAAAUGUGGAUAUUUGGAAAGUGAAAGACUUAUCAACAGGGCACAAAUCUUUUUGCAAAUGGAUUUUCCAAGUUUUUCUGGUGGUUCCAAAUUUUUUGCUUUCAACAAAGUGGGAGGAACAGCCUGUAGAUUUCUGAGUCUCUUAGCAUGUAACUACAAAGGGGUUGGAAGAAUUCAGUGAUUCUGCUAUCAUAAAGCUUCCGUUCCCAUUGAUGUAUCUGUGUGAACAAGGAUCAACAUCUCCAUAAAUGAAAUUGAAAACGGAAAAUAGAAUUGAUGAUGAACUUUGGCUCAAUCUUAAGAUGUUAUCAAUCUACAUAGAUGAAAUAAUUGUGGAGAAAAGCCCUCUUUAUCUCAUUAAGUGAUACAUUUCCAAAGAAGUUUUACUAUGUUUAAUAAUUUAGUGAAAUUUGGGCUAUGUGUUUAUUGAUUCAGCUCAAUCCAGAGGAAAAUUUUAAAGGCUUACAGCCUUAGGAUUAUAGGAUACUAUAUAAUACUUUUGGUACAGAGAUAGAAUUAAAUAACAUAAAAAUCAAAAAUUUAUUAGGCUAAAAUUUUGAGGGAGAAGUGGUAUGAAAAUACAAAUUCAAGGAGUAAAAGGAAAAGUGGGGCAUUCCUUGCUACUAAAAAUUGCCUUGUUCCAGGUAAGACUGAUCAUAAAAAAAUGGCCCUGUUCAUAAAAUUUUUAAAAAGAUCAUAGUAUCUAUCAAAUAACUUAUAUUAAGAACCUCCUGGGCUAAAUUUAAAAAGUAAUACAACAGUUUUAUUUAAACAUGUAGUGUCUACGGUAUGCCAGCACUUUGCAGCUAUUUAUAAUGAGAAAUUUUAGAUGUCAAUAUAGCAAUGUGCAAGAAGAUAGAGAUUUUCAAAAUUCACUUAAGAGUAUCUGAGCAUAAAAUGUUAAGAUUGCUGAUCGGAUGUGAGGGCGAUCUGGCUGCGACAUCUGUCACCCCAUUGAUCGCCAGGGUUGAUUCGGCUGAUCUGGCUGGCUAGGUGGGUGUCCCCUUCCUACCUCACCGCUCCAUGUGCGUCCCUCCCGAAGCUGCGCGCUCCGUCGAAGAGGACGACCAACCCCGAUAGAGGAGGACCGGUCUUCGGUCAAGGGUAUACGAGUAGCUGCGCUCCCCUGCUGGAACCUCCAAACAAGCUCUCAAGAUUGCUGAUCUAGGGCCACUAAGUGAUGAAUUGUAUUUGGAAGCAAAAAGGAUGGCUAAAAAGGACCUCAACCCUUUUGACUUUAAAAGGAAAAUAGCUUAACCUUCAACCUGUGUGACAUUUAACUUUUUGAACCCAACCGUAAAAGCUAUCUUCUAACCAACAAAAAGUUAAUAAUUAGAUUUGGAAUUAUACAGAAUUAGAAAAUUGGCAUUUAAAAAUACUCAAUAAUUUGUCCCUGGUUUUUAAUUUUCAAAAUAUUUUCUUUUUGAAGAGCCAGAUUCCAGUGAUCCUGCCUCUCAGAAAUUUCCACAUUUCUUAUUUUUCAUUAGGCCUUAAGAAGCUGCAUUUGUAAACUUGUGUUUCAUUAUUAAAGCUUAAUUUAUUUUUUAUAUAAAUAGUAUGUGCUUUGUGUACAUAGAGAAUUAAGUGAAUGAGUCACACAGAUGUUGGCUGUUGUUAAUGUGAAAAUUAAACAGCUGUAUCACAUUUUGAAAAAUAAAAGUUUCAUCUGAAUG
RNAcentral lists this long non-coding RNA (2072 nucleotides) under Homo sapiens (human). RNAcentral describes it as "non-protein coding lnc-PLCG2-8:2". The stretch from base 1315 to 1632 matches the Rfam family "7SK RNA". Lineage: Eukaryota; Metazoa; Chordata; Mammalia; Primates; Hominidae. The record is from RNAcentral.